This 253-nucleotide ribosomal RNA is filed under the name uncultured bacterium. Its description in RNAcentral is "partial 16S ribosomal RNA". It matches the Rfam family "Bacterial small subunit ribosomal RNA", at positions 524 to 776 of the family's 1533-position model. The record is from RNAcentral.
UACGUAGGGUGCGAGCGUUGUCCGGAAUUAUUGGGCGUAAAGAGCUCGUAGGCGGUCUGUCGCGUCGGAUGUGAAAAUCCAGGGCUUAACCCUGGACCUGCAUUCGAUACGGGCAGACUAGAGUUCGGUAGGGGAGACUGGAAUUCCUGGUGUAGCGGUGAAAUGCGCAGAUAUCAGGAGGAACACCGGUGGCGAAGGCGGGUCUCUGGGCCGUAACUGACGCUGAGGAGCGAAAGCAUGGGGAGCGAACAGG